This is a long non-coding RNA of Pipra filicauda (Wire-tailed manakin), 195 nucleotides long. RefSeq lists it as uncharacterized. The record is from RefSeq and is a predicted model, not a curated record. The transcript has 4 exons. NCBI's taxonomy places the organism in Eukaryota, Metazoa, Chordata, Aves, Passeriformes, Pipridae.
CACCGGAAGGGGCUGGGCACCGGAGCGGUGCCGUUGGGACGGCGAGGGCGCCCCCCAGCGGACGGAGCGCCCGGACGGCUUUGCCAGGAUGGGACCGAAGGGAGCCUAUAAACAGCUGGACCCCCCGGAGGAGCCUCGGCCGCCCCCCCCCAAGCGCCGCCCCCUCUGCUCCUUCCUCCUCCUCCUCCUCCUCCU